GGGCGUGUGGCUCAGUUGGUAGAGCGUCCGCUUAGCAUGUUUACUGGUGUGCGGAAGGUCCUGGGUUCGAUUCCCAGCUCGUCCA
Non-coding RNA from Echria macrotheca, 85 nucleotides. Lineage: Eukaryota; Fungi; Ascomycota; Sordariomycetes; Sordariales; Schizotheciaceae. The record is from the annotation of a GenBank genome assembly.